GCUUCACAUUUUUAUACGACCGCAAAAUUUGAAAAAUUUUUCGUCGUAUAUUGCUAUCACGUUGGCGUCGUCGUCUGCGUCGUCGUCGUCGUCCGAAUACUUUUAGUUUUCGCACUCUAACUUUAGUAAAAGUGAAUGGAAAUCUAUGAAAUUUUAACACAAGGUUUAUGACCACAAAAGGAAGGUUGGUAUUGAUUUUGGGAGUUUUGGUCCCAACAUUUUAGGAAUUAGGGGCCAAAAAGGGCCCAAAUAAGCAUUUUCUUGGUUUUCGCACUAUAACUUUAGUUUAAGUUAAUAGAAAUCUAUGAAAUUUUGACACAAGGUUUAUGACCACAAAAGAACGGUUGGAUUGAUUUUGGAGUUUUGGUUUCAACAGUUUAGGAAUUAGGGGCCAAAAAAGGGCCCAAAUAAGCAUUAUUCUUGGUUUUCGCACAAUAACUUUAGUUUAAGUAAAUAGAAAUCAAUGAAAUUUAAACACAAUGUUAAUGACUACAAAAGGAAGGUUGGUUAAUGAUUUUGGGAGUUUAGGUCCCAACAGUUUAGGAAU
This 547-nucleotide long non-coding RNA is filed under the name Mytilus galloprovincialis (Mediterranean mussel). Lineage: Eukaryota; Metazoa; Mollusca; Bivalvia; Mytilida; Mytilidae. The record is from RNAcentral.